AGUGAACGCUGGCGGUAGGCCUAACACAUGCAAGUCGAACGGCAGCACAGUAAGAGCUUGCUCUUACGGGUGGCGAGUGGCGGACGGGUGAGGAAUACAUCGGAAUCUACUUUUUCGUGGGGGAUAACGUAGGGAAACUUACGCUAAUACCGCAUACGACCUACGGGUGAAAGCAUGGGAUCUUCUGACCUUGCGCGAUUGAAUUAGCCGAUGUCGGAUUAGCUAGUUGGCGGGGUAAAGGCCCACCAAGGCGACGAUCCGUAGCUGGUCUGAGAGGAUGGUCAGCCACCCUGGAACUGAGACACGGUCCAGACUCCUACGGGAGGCAGCAGUGGGGAACAUGGGACAAUGGGCGCAAGCCUUAUCCAGCCAUCCCGAGUGGGUGAAGAAGGCCUUCGGGUUGUAAAGCCCUUCUGUUGGGAAAGAAAAGCAGCAGGUUAAUACCCCGCUGUUCUGACGGUACCCAAAGAAUAAGCACCGGCUAACUUCGUG
This 492-nucleotide ribosomal RNA is filed under the name uncultured bacterium. RNAcentral describes it as "partial 16S ribosomal RNA". It matches the Rfam family "Bacterial small subunit ribosomal RNA", at positions 29 to 507 of the family's 1533-position model. The record is from RNAcentral.